This is a long non-coding RNA of Pungitius pungitius (ninespine stickleback), 5165 nucleotides long. RefSeq lists it as uncharacterized. The record is from RefSeq and is a predicted model, not a curated record. The transcript has 2 exons. Lineage: Eukaryota; Metazoa; Chordata; Actinopteri; Perciformes; Gasterosteidae.
UAGACCCCCGUCAGGGCAGGACGUGACACUGCUCUGAUGAAGCAGCUUAUCUUAUAAGAGGAUGAAUUCCCUCUGCAGACAUUCCCGGGCUGUGUGGAAGAUCCUCGCUCUCUUCCACUUUUCCAUAUUGUUUUUCAAUAUGCGACACAGAAAUGUUUCUGUUUCUUCUUCUUCUCAUGUCAAGACCCCAGAAAGCUCCAGACCAGCUGAUCUUCUCUGUGUGUGUGCAGUACUCGUCGCAGCUCAACUCCCAGAACGCAUGUUGGAAGAUUGAAAUGUUGCUUCAGGUUCCGCUGGGAGAAAGGCGAACGAGUCGGAAAUACACCACAGGCCCUUGGGAACGGGAGGAGUUCUGACACACAAACACACAAACACACACACACACACACACAGUUUGCUGAAGAACACAUGCAGCAACAUGAACGGCGUACAUCUGCAAAAGACGUUUAGACACUUAAUGACGUCAGAAGCUCACAUCCGUCCGCCUUACGGUACACAACCUGCAGGCUGCCAUGACGAUGAGGAUGACGUUGACCUAAGUCACAAGAGUUGACUGAACAAAGAUGAAUGGAUUUGCUGCACAAGUUAAACGGCGAGCAUGAUAUGAAAGGUUCCACCUUGCAGCCGAAUCGUGGAACAUCUUUGGAUGGAAAGAACUUAGAAAUAGAUCGUAAAGCUGUGAGUAGCCGUUCACAGUCACAUGUUUCCUUGUUGUCUUCGUUGAGGAACCUUUUUUUCUGCUCUGUGACUCAUUGUCGUGACACACAGUGAAACAUCGUGACUGCUGCAAUGACCUGCAUCUACUAACCAAUCAGAACCUGAAAUGACUCGCUGAACUUCAUGAAGCCUAAUCCUGAGAGGCUCAUUUGUAAUUUCCUCACUGCUUCAACUUGAAGUUGUUUUGCCAUAUUGACGAAGCUUCUCCUUCUGCUUUGAGGAUCGAGGAGCUAGGAGGAACCUUUGAGGAACCUUAAGCAACAGCAGGAGAGUUUCAUACCAGAGACACAUCACAGGAUGCAAGCGAGGGAAACAGGGAUGUUGUCAAGAGGCUUGGCAUCUGCCCACUGUUGAGUAAAGCCAAGGAGGGAGACGACACACACAAGUGUGAUGGGAAAAAUGUGUGUAACCCUUCAAAUGUUUGCACGUGCUGGGAUGGUUGUGUCCAUGUGAAGGAAUUGAGCUGAAGUGUCUCACGCUGAUGAGAUGUCCCCAGUCUACUGAGUCACAACAAGUUGGUCUACAUGUGUUGGAUGUACGUUUCUGUCGAUGCCACAUGGAGGUGAACUGAGGUAUAAGUAGUUUGUGGCCCUGAUGUGAGAGGAGGAAGGUUCUUGGCAUUCUACUGAGCUCUUAUUUACUUACUUUGUUCUUAUUUGUCUGUGCAAAAUCUUCCACCACAAUUUGGUGUCAGAGGUGGGAUCGUUUGAAGUUCCAUCAGGACUCUGUGGACGUCCUCCUCAUUCCACAAAAAGUGAUUCCUGCCCAAACCUCAUCAGACUCAGGGGGAGGGGUCCAAAGAGGCCUGAGUGACUUUAACAUCCAACCAAGGAAGAGUCUCACUCAAAUUGGGUAAGAAGUUGAUAUUCUGAUUGAUCUGAAUUAUUACGGUUGAUAAAAGAUUUCAAAGACAUGAAUUUAGAACUUCGUAAUAGUGGGAGCAAAUUAGAGAAAUCAUAAUAAUAAUGUGUAUGAAUUCAUAAAAGUAGUUGCAAAGUGUUUCUGAUUCAUCAUUAUCCAAAUGUAUUUUUGCUGAGGAAGAGAGGAUUGAUUUGAGAACGAUUGUAUUCAGAUUCAACUCUGAAGUUGCAUCAUCGUGGCCUUGACCAAAAGGGCAAAAUAUGGUUUGUGAAAUCAUAAUUGAAGUAACUCAAUAGAAUUCAAGAACACACACACAAUGUGAAAUACAUAAUCAUUCUGCACUUUAUUCAAAUACAAGGGCAUAAAGAUUGUCCAUUCGGUUUGGUCUUUAAUUUAGAAGAAUAAGCUCAUAAUUGCUGGAAUGUCAAGAUUUACAACUGUAUUUUUCCACAAACAAACCGAUUAUAGAGAAAAUCUUAUGACAUCAGAUCUAUAGAAAAUCUAGAUAAUUGGUAUUACAACAACUAAAUAAAGUAAAAUAUUCAACAAAAUAAUUGUGUUUAAAUACAGAGCAACAAUUGGUGGUGAACGUUUCAACCGGAAACCACAAACAACCUGAUCAACUUUCUUAAGGGAAAACGUUUUGAGGAAAAUAGACUGUGAAAUAAUCUGGAAGAAGGUAAAGACUUUAAAUAGAGCUUUGGCUAUUUUGAGUGAUGUGUUAAAUUAACAAAUGCUCAACAAGAGGGAUGGAUAGGCUGUAAUAACAACUAAUCCGAUACUUUGCAUUGAGUGUGAAAAACAAUCCCACGGUUCCAAUGACGAGAACAUUAGUUUACACUUCAUUGAAUAAAUCACUGUAAAGAAAGUAACAAAGUAACAACGUAUCCUGCUUCUACUUGUGGGAUGUAUGUCUAAUAUCAUUAAUAUCCACAGUCAGCAGGACUGAAGGAACAAAUAAAUGGUACAAUUUAUUAAGAAAAUAAUGGCUAAGACAGAAAUGAAUUGGAUUCAAUGUAGCUCCAUUGUGCUCAAGUCCCAAACUAAGUCACGAACCCAAGUGGAAGCCAUUAGGGUCACUUUUAGAGGGGAUUAAUAACGCCCGGGGGUUUAGUGGGGUCUGUGGGAUGGAGCUCAGUGGUGGAUCCACAGCGCAGGGAUUGGUGAGCAAUGAUGCCACCUAGACCACGAGUGGACUUACCAGUAUUUCUGUUACAUUAAUGGUAAUAGAAUAAAGAUAUAGACACACAUUUAAACAUAUUUAAUAGCGCCGGGACUUUAGCGCGUUAAUUACGAUGAAUUAAUUACAAUGUGAAUUAAGAUUAAUUAAUUACACAAAAAAUAACAAUAAUAAUUAAACAUUUUUUACGCAUUUUUACACUAAUUUUUUGUACCGCGGAACGUUUCUCACUGGAGGAGUUUUGGGAGGACCGAUUAUACUGGAGCACCAACUAGCGUCCAUGACUUCAGACAACAACAAACCACAGUGAACAUGAACGAAGAAGCUGACGAGACCGUGUCGGGUGGCCCCGUGAAUGUGAAAUCUUAUUAUAAUAAACACACGGAUGGAAGCGUCGAUAAGAGCGUGGUUGUGUGCAAGCUGUGCAACAAGGAAUUCACAUCGAGCCUCAAGUAUCACCUCAACGCUAAACAAUUAGCAGCUAGCGUGGACGUACAAGGACCCACACCCAACCCACACUGCACCAGAUGACUGGUUUAAGGACCAGGGUAACUAAGUCCACGUCUGACAAAAUAACCAAUGUUCUGAAUGUACUUGAAAGUAUUGGUCUACUUAAAAAAACAUAGUUUACAGAAGGUCUACUUACCUAUAGGCUACCUGAAUUUCUGAAAGUACUAUAUUUCUAAAUAUGCUAUUUCUACACUUGUCUGCUGGAAUUGGUUGAACAAAAAUAAAAAUCCAUGUGAAAAAAAUUACUUCUCACUGUUUCAUAAUUAAUUACAAAGCCUCUAAUUAAUUAGAUUUUAUAUAUUAUAUAUUAUAUAUAUAUUGACCUUACAUAUAUUUUUUUUAUAAUAAUUUUUUACCUAUUAUUUAAAAAAAAAUCUUUUCUUUUUUGACCCUACAUAUUUUGACUUUUUUCACAAUAUUUUAUUGCCCAUGACAUGACUGGAAUGAUCUUAGAUGGAGCAACCUACACGUCCCUGUCACUAAUGCCAAAUGCCCCAAAUUUCUGUACUUUAAACCUUAUCUGGGUUCAACCCUCAAGGGACAUGGUGGCUCCUAAAUCCUUUUUUAGUUUUGGGUAACUGACAUUUAUAAAAAAUCAUAAUGGGAUAUUGCCCCAGAGACGGAUUGGUGCAUCUUGGAGGAUCAACCAUGCUAUUCAUCCUUCCUGCAUUGGUAAAGGCACAAGUGAGUUGAAUUUGAAUGUAACAGAGAAUUGGAGGGUGGAUGCACUAAAAAGGGUAAACAAAUCUACACCCUGUGCCAGACUGUCAGUUUAAGGUUGUCCACAGGAUGCCCUGAAGUAGACAAACAUGUGAUUGUCUUGAAAAAUGCCCUCAUAGGCUGUAAUAAGUUUCAUGUCAGUGUGACCACUGAAUGAGACACAUCUGCUCAUCUUUACUGACUCAUCCGGCCUUCUCUCCCGUCAAUAAGGUGGAACCCUAUAGGCUACGUAGCAUGGCUAAUAAGUGCUAAAAGCAAAGCAAUUAACAUCAAAUUCAAUUCAUCAUCAUUCAAAAGAUUCUUCAUCAUUCUUGACAAUGCCAUCAUAACCAAGUAAACGCACCUUGUGUUUCUGCAUAACCCCCAGGGUUCACUUCUCUGAAACAACCAGUGGGGACAAUGCCCCCACUACUACCUCCGCGGUAGUGUGCUCAAGACUUGGCGGGUGGGAUUUGAACCCACUGGCGGUGCGCUCAGAGGCUUUUGGCACCCUGCACUCACCCCUACACUACCAGUCCUGGUCACAUUUUGGUAACUUUGAUUCUCCUAUUUAACCUUGAGCAUGUGAGUUAAACUUUAAAACUCUCUUAAAUGCUAUUUCCACAGCUGGGCUUGAACCCACAACCUUCAAGUGCAGUGCAGGGGCUUAUGUCAGCAGCUCUUCCACUGUGCUACUUCACCACACACUAACCAGCCCUUUAUUUGUUGUAUUUAACCUUGAGACUGCUACUCAAACCUCAAAACUCUUUCAAAGCAGAAGUGAUGUCUGCAUGAAGGGGCAUGAACCCACAACCUCAGACAGCAGGUUGGAGCCUGCAGCCCUUCAGUUGUUCCCUUGUGCUAUUCAAGCACAUGCCUCAAUGUGUCCGUUUCUCAUAUUAGACCUUGGGAUUGUUUACUAAACCUCAAAACUGUUUCAAAGUUUGAAGCCCUGACUGCAACCAAACCCUCCUUCUGAGAGAGAAGGUUUGAACUCAGGAUCCUCCACACUUCAGCCUUCCUGCUAUCUCCCUGCACUGUUCCACUAUACACCUGUUGAUGCUUUUGAAUCCAACCUCAAUUCUCAUAGAUUCUCAGGCUGGAAUCCACAACCGUUCCAUACCGUUAUAAUAGAAUUGCAGGUCAAGUAAAGUCAUAUAAUGGCAUUUCUAAUAAAGCCCUAGUUGAUUUCACUACU